RNAcentral lists this ribosomal RNA (492 nucleotides) under uncultured bacterium. RNAcentral describes it as "partial 16S ribosomal RNA". It matches the Rfam family "Bacterial small subunit ribosomal RNA", at positions 29 to 507 of the family's 1533-position model. The record is from RNAcentral.
AGUGAACGCUGGCGGUAGGCCUAACACAUGCAAGUCGAACGGCAGCACAGUAAGAGCUUGCUCUUACGGGUGGCGAGUGGCGGACGGGUGAGGUAUACAUCGGAAUCUACUUUUUCGUGGGGGUUAACGUAGGGAAACUUACGCUCAUACCGCAUACGACCUACGGGUGAAAGCAGGGGAUCUUCGGACCUUGCGCGAUUGAAUGAGCCGAUGAGGGAUUAGUUAGUUGGCGGGGUAAAGACCCACCGUGGCGACGAUCCGUAGCUGGUCUGAGUGGAUGAUCGGCCGCACUAGAACUGAGACAGGGACCAGACUCCUGCGGGAGGCAGCAGUGGGGAAUAUUAGGCAAUGGUCGCAAGCCUGAUCCAGCCAUACCGAGUGUGUGAAAGAGACCUUCGGGUUGUAAAGCCCGUUUGUUGGGAGAGAAAAGCAGCAGGUUAAUACCCCGCGGUUCUGACGGUACCCAAUGAAGAAGCACCGGCUAACUUCGUG